Molecule: long non-coding RNA, 1745 nt
Filed under: Xyrichtys novacula (pearly razorfish)
Lineage: Eukaryota; Metazoa; Chordata; Actinopteri; Labriformes; Labridae
Source: RNAcentral
AUUAUGAAGUUUUUGGCCAAAAUCACGUUACCUGUGUCAUUUUCAAGGACUUUCCUUCUGCAGAGCUCUGGCAGCUCAUUAGCAAUUCGUCUCUGAAUCUUUGGCGGAGAAAGCGCUGCUCUGCACACUCCUCUUCAUGCUAGCUUACAGCCUGACAUUGCUGGUGUAGUAGAAGUGGCAGGUAACAUAGGAGCUAUUCAAGCUCUUGGACACUAAUGUCUUUGGAGGCAUAGUGUAAGCUUAUAUAAUAAUUAGCCUUUUUUACGUGCACUGCAACCCAGUAACACACGCUUGUCCUUUCUAUUUCUCUGAGUCUAGCCUGCAUGGCAGGGCUCCGGGGGUGGAGCUUGCAAUUGUGACGUAGGAAAUCUCACUAUGUCUGAACCUGCCAUUUGGGUCUGCCAGAGAUUCACAAAAUACAGAAAUACUCAGAAAUUCAAUUUGGCACUUACUUUCCUCAUGAUAUGUACUAUAGCAUCAGAAAAAUGCCAUAUGAACAUGUAGACCACUAAAAAAAACAAACACGAUUUUCAUCGGAGUGGGUCAUUAACCUUAGAUUCCUUACUUGAAAAAAGAACAUUGCCUUUUUCUCAAGAAUUCUGACUUCUUUCUCAGAAUUCUGAUAUUAAAAAUGAAAUUUUGAGUUCUAAAAAAAUUGCAAUUUUGACUUUUUUAUAAAUUGGUUUAAAACUUGUAAUGAUGACUCUAAAUAAGGAAUUUUAACAUCUUUAAUCAAGGCUCUGACCAUCAGCUAUGUUACAUGCAUGUUUUUGCUUUUGACAUUAGGAUGACUGUCUGGUGAGAAACUUUUGUUAACUGAGGAAGUGACAGUGAAUUUAGACAGCUAUUUUGUUCCCACAUUCUCACUUAUCUGCAGGAGAAAUCCCUUCAGACCAGCCUUCAAUCAUUGCUCCCUUUUAUUAAAAUGCUCAUUAUCAGACAUCAGAGCUCUGUUACAAGGUACAGACUGUCAGUUUGAACGAGCUGUUUAUGAAAGCCGAUGCUGUCUUUGGCAUUAACGCUCUCUCUCUCUCUCUCUCUCUCUCUCUCUCUCUCUCUCUCUCUCUCUCUCUCUCUCUCUCUCUCUCUCUCUCUUUCGCUCUCUCUCUCUCUCUCUUUCUCUCUCUCUUCUUACUGUAUUCUCUCAUGUGUCUCACACCAUUUUACUGAUGCAGUGACUCUACAGCUGCUUCAUGAAUCUAAAGCAAAUUUGUCCAGGCGCAUUAGGUUAUUUAUGUUUCAUCCACCAUACAGUCCUGAUGGGGCCUUUCCUUCCCUUCCCUGUGUGUGUGUGUGUGUUUGUCUCUAACCUUUUUAGAGUUCUGUGGUUAUGUAUAUGUAGGCAUUAGAACAUGCACAGUAAAGUCAAGCUGCAUUGGGCAUUUUAACUGGACCACUGUCUUUGUCCCAGUUUCAAUGCACGGGGCAAAAUUACUGAUAGAAGAGUGUCCACCUCUGCUAUGGUACUCAAUAUCAGUGGUGAACAAACUACACAACUCCAUUACUUGAGUGAAAGAUAAAUACCCCUGGUCAAAUUUUACUCCAAUACAAGUGAAAGUUGUGUGGUCAAAUUUAAGUUGGGGUCCAAAGUACUGGAGGAAAUGCUUUUGAAAAUACUUAAGUAUUAAGAGUACAUUUUUGUUAUUAUAUCAAUGCGUUAUCGUAUUGUGGCCACAAUAAAUUUACAGACCCUAACGACUGACACAACCCACUGAAUACAUUGACUCAGAUCGAGAGAAAAAAAA